This 72-nucleotide transfer RNA is filed under the name Heterocephalus glaber (naked mole-rat). It matches the Rfam family "tRNA". Rfam says of the family: Transfer RNA (tRNA) molecules are approximately 80 nucleotides in length. Their secondary structure includes four short double-helical elements and three loops (D, anti-codon, and T loops). Lineage: Eukaryota; Metazoa; Chordata; Mammalia; Rodentia; Bathyergidae. The record is from Rfam by way of RNAcentral.
UGGGAUAUAACUGAGUGGUAAAGUGCUUGCCUACCAUGCACAAAGGCCUGGAUUCAAUCCCCAGCACCACAA